GUUAGCGUUGUUUGUUAAUUUGUGAACUGCAACGCCUCCAAUUUCCACGCCCUGAACACAGCGACCAUGAUCUUGAUCCCGAAACACAAGGGCGCAACGCAGCUCACUGACUUCAGGCCUGUUAGCCUGAUCCACAGCGUCGCCAAAUUGAUGGCAAGGAGGCUGCAACAUAUCAUGAAUGAUUUGAUCUCCCCCUGCCAAAGCGCAUUCACAAAAAAAAAGAUCCAUCCUCAACAACUUUAUGCAUGUCCAGGCCAUGAUCAAAACCCUGAAAUCAAAGCGAGAAAGACGCCGGCCAUCCUCCUGAAGAUGGGUCGAUAUUGCCAAGGCAUUUGA
RNAcentral lists this ribosomal RNA (336 nucleotides) under Triticum aestivum (bread wheat). RNAcentral's name for it is "partial small subunit ribosomal RNA". The record is from RNAcentral. Lineage: Eukaryota; Viridiplantae; Streptophyta; Magnoliopsida; Poales; Poaceae.